GCGAAAGCACUUCGGUGCAAGUAGAGUGGCGAAAGGGCGAGGAAUAAGUACCUAACGUGCCUUCAGGUAAGGGAUAGCUCAUGGAAACGUGUGGUAAUACCUUAUAAUCUCAUCUUCUCAUAUGGGUUGAUGAGCAAAGGCUUGCUGCCUGAAGAUCGGGGUACUUCCUAUCAGCUUGUUGGUGAGGUAACGGCUCACCAAGGCGAAGACGGGUAGCUGGUGUGAGAGCACGACCAGCCGCAUCGGGACUGAGACACUGCCCGGACUCCUACGGGAGGCUGCAGUAACGAAUAUUCCGCAAUGCGCGAAAGCGUGACGGAGCAAUGCCGCGUGUGGGAUGAAGCAUCUAGGUGUGUAAACCACUGUCAGGGUUUAGGAAACAAAUGACCAGACCCAAAGGAAGAGCCGGCUAACUCUGUGCCAGCAGCCGCGGUAAUACAGAGGGCUCAAGCGUUAAUCGGAAUCACUGGGCUUAAAGGGUCCGCAGGCGGAUCGGUAAGUAUCUUGUGAAAUACCAUGGCUCAACCAUGGAAUUGCUCGGUAAACUGCCAAUCUUGAACACGGUAGGGGCCAUCGGAACUCUAGGUGGAGCGGUGAAAUGCGUAGAUAUCUAGAGGAACGCCAGAGGCGAAGGCGGAUGGCUGGGCCGUUGUUGACGCUCAGGGACGAAAGCAUGGGUAGCGAACGGGAUUAGAUACCCCGGUAGUCCACGCCCUAAACGAUGUGCACUAGGUCGCGGAGGUUUUGACGCCAUCGCGGCUGAAGUUAAAAUAUUAAGUGCACCGCCUGGGGAGUACGGUCGCAAGGCUAAAACUCAAAGGAAUUGACGGGGGCUCACACAAGCGGUGGAGCAUGUGGCUUAAUUCGAAGCAACGCGAAGAACCUUAUCCAGGGCUUGACAUGCACGGAUUAUUGAUCCGAAAGGUGAUAAACGCUCUCUGAGUGGAACGUGCACAGGUGCUGCAUGGCUGUCGUCAGCUCGUGCUGUGAAGUGUCCGGGUUAAGUCCCUUAACGAGCGAAACCCCUAUCCCUAGUUGCCAGCGAGUCAUGUCGGGG
This 1057-nucleotide ribosomal RNA is filed under the name uncultured marine bacterium. Its description in RNAcentral is "bacterial SSU rRNA". It matches the Rfam family "Bacterial small subunit ribosomal RNA", at positions 66 to 1136 of the family's 1533-position model. The record is from RNAcentral.